UGGGGAAUAUUGGACAAUGGGCGCAAGCCUGAUCCAGCCAUGCCGCGUGAGUGACGAAGGCCCUAGGGUUGUAAAGCUCUUUCAGUGGUGACGAUGAUGACGGUAGCCACAGAAGAAGCGCCGGCUAACUCCGUGCCAGCAGCCGCGGUAAGACGGAGGGCGCUAGCGUUGUUCGGAAUCACUGGGCGUAAAGGGCGCGUAGGCGGCUGUCUAAGUCGGGGGUGAAAGCCCGGGGCUCAACCUCGGAACGGCCUUCGAGACUGGGCGGCUAGAGACCGGAAGAGGAGGGUGGAAUACCCAGUGUAGAGGUGAAAUUCGUAGAUAUUGGGUGGAACACCAGUGGCGAAAGCGGCUCUCUGGUCCGGUUCUGACGCUGAGGCGCGAAAGCGUGGGGAGCAAACAGGAUUAGAUACCCGGGUAGUCC
This 424-nucleotide ribosomal RNA is filed under the name uncultured prokaryote. Its description in RNAcentral is "bacterial SSU rRNA". It matches the Rfam family "Bacterial small subunit ribosomal RNA", at positions 355 to 796 of the family's 1533-position model. The record is from RNAcentral.